RNAcentral lists this ribosomal RNA (444 nucleotides) under uncultured bacterium. Its description in RNAcentral is "partial 16S ribosomal RNA". It matches the Rfam family "Bacterial small subunit ribosomal RNA", at positions 354 to 796 of the family's 1533-position model. The record is from RNAcentral.
GUAGGGAAUAUUGGGCAAUGGUCGGAAGACUGACCCAGCCAUGCCGCGUGCAGGAAGACGGCCCUCUGGGUUGUAAACUGCUUUUAUCUGGGAAGAAAAAGGCCAUGCGUGGCAAAUUGCCGGUACCAGAUGAAUAAGCACCGGCUAACUCCGUGCCAGCAGCCGCGGUAAUACGGAGGGUGCGAGCGUUGUCCGGAUUUAUUGGGUUUAAAGGGUGCGUAGGCGGCUGAGUAAGUCAGCGGUGAAAGACUUCGGCUUAACCGGAGCAGUGCCGUUGAUACUGGUUGGCUUGAGUGUCGGAGGGGUACAUGGAAUUGAUGGUGUAGCGGUGAAAUGCAUAGAUACCAUCAGGAACACCGAUAGCGAAGGCAUUGUACUGGCCGACAACUGACGCUGAUGCACGAAAGUGUGGGGAUCGAACAGGAUUAGAAACCCGUGUAGUCC